UNCCUGAAGUGGCCGGUGGCCAGCUUCGAGCUCCCAACCUUUGACCCGAGGACAGUUCCCCCUGCAGGGCCACUCUGUCUGCCUGAGUCCAGUUCCCUCUUGAGCUCCGACCCUGAGGUAGUCGUCGCCGUGGGAUUUCCUGGGGCCGGGAAGUCCACCUUCCUCCAGGAGCAUCUCGUGUCCGCAGGAUAUGUCCACGUGAAUAGGGUAGGAUUCUGGCCGCACCCGUGUCCGUCUGCAGUCAGUCCCCUCCCAUCACUGCUCAGUUCCCUGUGAGAUCUGUUCCCCUUGCAUCUCUCUGCUCUCCUUCAGGG
Miniopterus natalensis is the source of this 314-nucleotide non-coding RNA. The record is from RefSeq and is a predicted model, not a curated record. Lineage: Eukaryota; Metazoa; Chordata; Mammalia; Chiroptera; Miniopteridae.